RNAcentral lists this ribosomal RNA (444 nucleotides) under Amblyomma mixtum. RNAcentral describes it as "partial 16S ribosomal RNA". Lineage: Eukaryota; Metazoa; Arthropoda; Arachnida; Ixodida; Ixodidae. The record is from RNAcentral.
AUCCACAUUUAAUAAAUCUGCUCAAUGAUUUUUUAAAUUGCUGUGGUAUUUUGACUAUACAAAGGUAUUGAAAUAAGACUUUAAUUGAGUGCUAAGAGAAUGGAAUUACAGGAAAAAUCUUUUUUAAACUUAACAAUUAAAGUUAUUUUUACUUGUGAAGAAGCAGUAAUAAAAAUUAAGGACAAGAAGACCCUAAGAAUUUUUCGAUACAUAUUUCAAUAAAGAAAAUAUGUUUCUUUAAUUGGGGCGAUUAAUUAAUAUUAAAAACUUUUUUGAAAAAACAUGAACCGUUUAAUAGCGGUAAAUUGGUAAAAAUACUCUAGGGAUAACAGCGAAAUAAUUUUUGAUAGUUCAUAUUGACAAAAUAGUUUGCGCCCUCGCUGUUGGAUUAGGGGAUUUUUUUAAUGAAGAAGGUAAAAAAAAAAGUUGUGCACCAUUCACAUG